Siniperca chuatsi (mandarin fish) is the source of this 1450-nucleotide long non-coding RNA. RefSeq lists it as uncharacterized. The record is from RefSeq and is a predicted model, not a curated record. The transcript has 2 exons. Lineage: Eukaryota; Metazoa; Chordata; Actinopteri; Centrarchiformes; Sinipercidae.
GUUAAGAUGCAGCGCUGCAGGAAGUACUCAGAUACUUUACUUCAGUAAAAGUACUAAUACCACACUGUACAAAUACUAUGUAUGAAAGUAUGUAAGUAUAUUCAGGAAAAGGUACUUAAAGUAUUAAAGCAGUAAAAUGUCCUGCUGUUGGCUUCAGACUCAGAUUCAGAUGAUGAAAUGGGGCCUAACAGGGCUGUGAGUCUCUAUAAAGUAGAACCCAGCAUCAUCAUGGAAGAGUGUCCACUGCAGUGGCUGUCACCUCAUGCAGGGGUCCAUCUACAGCUGCCUGCACUGGCUUGCCAAUAUCUGGCCACCCCUGCCACUUCUGUCCCUUCAUCUCAACAGCUCGGUAACAACGUAGCGUGAAGUCAACACCAGACCCAAACUACCGCCUCACCGUCGUCUGCUGAGCUGCAGAAUGAUGAAGAGAUGCUCUGAUGCUAACCUUUCAGUCUGCUACGUUACUGACUGUACUGACAAACUAUAGCUGGCUAGCUGCCUCACUAACACAGCAAACACAUGUGAUAAGCAUGAGUGACGUGGCAGUGGAAGAAGUAUUCAGAUCUUUUACUUAAGUAAAAGUAUCAAUAUGACACUGAAAAUACUCCAUUAGAAGUUAAUUAUUUCCAUAAUUGUUCUUACUGAAACAUUUCAGAUUUUUCAGAAACCAAGCUGCUGAAAAUAAUUUUUUUAAACGUAUUUAUUCAUUUUUACAUCAUUAAUUAAUUUUUUCUUGGGAUUGGGUGGGGAACAAGGGCGAAAUGCUUCACAUUUGAUGUACAGAUUUAUUUUUCUUAUGUAAAUCCCACAUUCUCAUGACUACCACGUAUUUUCAUGUACCAUUAAUAUGUUGGAAAUAAAAACAAUUGUUAGCAAAGUUUUAUUUCUCACCCUUUACACGGCAGUGAGAACGUUCCUAAACAAAUUUUAACACCCCUUUUCCACAGCAGUUGGCUGGCAAAGACAUACAGAUACCAGCUUGACAGAGACCACCACUUUGGCAUUACUGGGAAAUGCAACUUUAAUUAGUAAAAACUGAACUGAAGGCCAAACUCUAGAAUCAGAAUCAGAAUCAGAAAUACUUCAUUGAUCCCUGAGGUGAAACUCUUUCGUUACAGCAGCUCACUGUCAUGUCAGUGCACACAGGAACAGAAGCACUAAGCAAAAAAUAUAAUACACUAUAAAACAGGGUAGAAUCGCCCCUGGUUACCACAAACGUCAAAGAAUCAAAUGGUUUGUAGAGCUUAUAUUAAAACUCUUAAAAUGAAUAAACCAACACCAGUUGGAUUGAUAUUACUUUAAAUGCACAAUAAAAAAACAUGAUUUAUUAAAACAGAGAUUAUAUUAACCCUUCAAUUAUCACUGCUGUAAAAAGAAAAAGAAAACAAUGAAGACAUGUUUUUUUGGAAAGGCCAAACUUGUGUUUCAGUAUACAAAACAAUAUAUGAAA